RNAcentral lists this long non-coding RNA (588 nucleotides) under Cairina moschata (Muscovy duck). Its description in RNAcentral is "domestica (muscovy Duck (domestic type)) lncRNA (ENSCMMG00000002565.1)". Lineage: Eukaryota; Metazoa; Chordata; Aves; Anseriformes; Anatidae. The record is from RNAcentral.
CAAAUUUACUUGAGCAAAUGACUGUGGAGCAGCCAUGCAGCUAUUUUGCCUUCUGGAACAGUGAUCUUAUCAAAUGUACGUGAGAACGAUGCAUCUGUGGAAACUCUGAAGUCAAAAGAUCCUGGAAAAGACAAAGAAUUGAAAUCUCCAGCUGCUACAAAAGAUAAAGAACACACUAAAGAAAAGGAAGGAAAGAAUCCUGCAGCUUUAAAAGAUAAAGAGUCUCUGAAAGGAAAAAAUCCCAAGAAUCCAGAGGGGUCAAAGGAUAAAGAGACUGGUAAAAGAAAAGAUGUGAGGCCUUCAGCAGUCUUAAAGGAAAAGGGAAAAGAAAUGAAGGUUUUGACUACAACUAAGGAGAAAGCUACGGUGAAAAAGGAAGGGGAGAAGAAAGGUACUUCAGAAAAAACUCAUGAACACAAACCUGCAAAUAUUAAACAUGAAAAAGCUAUCUCUCAGAUGAAGCCAGAGGAGAAAAUUAAACAACCAAAGACAGCUCCCACUGAGAAGUCAGGUAGGAACAAGUCAUUCUUUCCUGAUUUAUGGGGGGGUGAGGGGGGUUUAAACACUGUUCAGAUUUUUCUGAUGUAG